AAGAAAAAAAAAACAAAUAUUGUAGACAAUUGACAAACUUUUUAUGAGAUUUUGCGAACAGAAACGAUGUGUAAUUCUUGAUCUUUCUCUUCCAGGCAUUACGUACAUGUUAGUAAAGAGUCUGCUUCAUAGCUCAAAAAUUUUUUACUAGGAAUUGACGACGCCUUUUCAAAAACUCCAUUGAAAACGUUGGAAAAAAUCUAGUAUCUCUUAUAUCUCUGCGAAAAGCCCUUCAACAGCCAAGGGCUGAAAGUCUCUUAAAUAAAGACAAAUCAAUCAAAGCACUACAGAAAUCUGUCCAGAGUUCUGCCAAAAAUUUGACGCUGUUCUCGUCAAGAUAGUUUAAAAAAAAAAUGUGCAUUUGUAGCUGCUCAGUAUUUCGUCGUAAAUUCGAAGUGCUCAUAGAACAUAUAUGCACGCAGUGGAAUAAAUUGUAAGCACAAUUAAAUUCUAGUUCAAAUCAACCAUCUUUUCAGUUUACUAUAGCGACAAACUGAUUUCCAGUUAAAACUAAACUGUUCCAUUGUUUGAUAAUACAAUUUUUUUCAUUUGACGAAAUUGUUGACAGUUUGUUAGAACAAACAGAGAUUUGGUAGUUUCAACAUAAAGUAAUGGAUUGUUUUAAACGACGACUGCACUUUUGCAACUAACAAAGCCGAAGAUUGUGUUGGUGACGACAGCUGCUGCUUACUUACCUUACCAAUCAGGCUAAGGCCAGGGCGGCCUCUGCUGUACAUAGUAGCCUCCUCCAUUCCACUCGGUUCAUGGCAGUUUGUCUCCAGUUCCGCACUCUGCGUAGGGUCCGCAGAUCGUCCUCCAAUUGGUCGACCCACCUAGAUCGCUGCGCUCCACGUCUUCUUGUACCGGUCGGAUGACUCUCGAGAACCAUUUUAGUCGGGUUGCUAUCCGACAUCCUGAUGACGUGACCCGCCCACCGUAGCCUCCCGAUUUUCGCGGUAUGGACGAUGGUUGAUUCUCUUAGCAGCUGAUGCAGCUCGUGGUUCAUCCGCCUUCUCCAAGUCCCGUCUUCCAUAUGCACUCCGCCGUAGAUGGUACGCAACACCUUCCGUUCGAAAACUCAAAGGGUGCGUUGGUUCUCUGCACGUAGGGUCCAUGAUUCGUACCCAUAGAGGACGACCGGUCUAAUCAGCGUUUUGUAGAUAGUUAACUUCGUGUUACGGCGAACUUUAUUCGAUCGUAGAGUUUUGCGGAGUCCAAAGUAAGCACGAUUUCUUACCACAAUGCGCCUCUUAUUCUCUCUUUUGGUGUCGUUGUCGGCGGUCACCAGUGAGCCCAAGUACACGAAUUCUUCGACCGCCUCGAUGAUGAACGUCGAUAUAAAUUCGGGGUGGCGGGCGCGGUGAUUCCUCCCUGGAGCCCUUUGCCAUAAUGUACUUUGUAUUCGACACAUUAAUGACUAAUCCGAUUCGCCUGGCUUCACUCUUUAGUCGGAUGUACGUUUCCGCCAUCGUCUCAAAUUUACGAGCAAUAAUCAUUGGCGUAGCUAGGGGGGGUUCCAGGGGUGCCUGGCACCCCCUAGAACAAAUUUGGCACCCCCUAGAAUUUUUCCUUGACAGUCACCUAAAAUUUAAAACUUCACACAAUAAUUCCUAUAUUCAUUAAUGGCACAUUUGAACAAAACUUACCACUCCCGGAAUUACUUUCGAAGAAGGAAAAAUAACACUAGUUUACAAAAUAAAACGAAAGUCGUGAACUUCUGUCAACGACCAAAAUUUUUGAAGUAUAAUUUAGCGCUGAUUUCAAAACCGUGCUUCAAAAAUUUUAAAAUAGAACAGUUUUUGAGUUUUAGCUCAAUAUCGUGUUUUACAACUUUUUAAAAUAUAGAAUUUAAUAAAAUUCAAAUAUCUUGCGUUCUGUUCAACCAAUUUUAAAUCUUUUUCCAUAAAUUGAAAGCUGAAUAUAAUACCAUUCGAUCAUCUGAAUGCAGGUUUUGCGUCAGAUUGAUGAAAAUCAAGAUAUUGGCGAGUUUUGGGGACGAUCUCCUUAAAUUUUAGCAAAAUUUCCAAAAAUUUAUGAAGAAAUGUAUUUUUUUCAAUAAGAAAACAACAAUUUAAAAAUUCUUUCUCAACGUUUAUUUGACAUAUCAUAUGUCGGGCAUGAUUCUACACCAAAAACGAUCAUCAGCUUACCGAGUUCAAAAAUGCUGUAAACUAGUGUAAUCGUUGCUUUUUUGGGAGAUCUAAGAGUUCUAGACAGCCAAAGUUGAGCAAUUUGUAUGGAAAUUUCACUUUUUUGUACUCCGUCCCGAAAAGGAUAUACCUGUUGUACCGUUUGGCGUUUUGGAUAUUGGUAAGAACAAUCAACAUACUUCUCCAUGGAUGCCUCCAGAAAUAUUUCUAUCUAUUCAUACAGUGAUUUCUCUAGGUUUUCUUUAUGGAUUCCUCCCAAUAUUUCAUCAAUAAACUUUCCUUAGGAUUCUCCAAGCAGUUCUAAUGGGGUUGUACAUACUAGAAAUUUCUGCAGAGAUUGAUCCAGCAAUUUUUCCUAGGAUUUCUUUGGAAAUUCUUACUAUGAUACUUCUCGGAAUUCUUCUAUGGGUUCCUCUAAAAACUUCUAUUGGGAUUCCUUCAGGAAUUCCUGGUGAGUUUAUUCAAGACUAUCUCCCUGGGAUCCGUUCAAAAGUUCCGCCGGUGAUUCUUCCAGGAAUUCCUUAAGAGAUUUUAUUCAUAGAUUGUUCCAAAAAUUGCUCAUGGAUUCCUCCAGUAAUUGUGGCUAAGAUUCCUAAAGCAACUCCUGCUGUGAUUCUUCCAGCAGUUUCUCUUAGAACUUCAACAAAAAUUCUCACUGUGGUAUCUUCAGGAAUUCUACUUGGGAAGUUCUUUCGGAAAAUCUCCCUGGGAUUUUUCUGAAGAUCCCUUCGGUGAUUCUCCCAGAGAUUUCUUCAGGGAUUUUUCCAGGACUUCCUCCAGAGGUUCUUCCAAAAAUUCCACAGGGGAUUUCUCCAUGAAUUUCAGCUGGAAUUCUUCAAGCAAUUUCCAUCAGGACUCUUUCAGAAAUACUUCUAGGGAUUUCUCAUGGCAUACAUACAUACAUACUGUAAUACUUUCGGAAAAUCUUCCGGAGAUUCUUCCAGAAAUUCCUCCUGCGAUUCCUCCAGUAUACUUCUUCCGAUUCUUUCUAGCAGAACUGUAGGUAUUCCUCUAGGCAACUUCUCGUAGGAUACCCCUAGCAUUCCUGAUUCUAGGAUUUCUCUAGAAAUUACUUCUAUGAUACCUCGCGGAAUUCUAGGAAUUCCUCCCGAUAUUACAGCUGGGAUUUGUCAAGGAAUUCCUGCGGUUCUUCCAGCUACUCAUCCUCCAGAAAUUCUAACUGUCGUACUUCUGAAAUUAUGCUACGGAUACUCCUAGAGAUUUCUCCUAGAUUUUUUGCUGAGAUCUUUCCAGGACAUCUUCCUGAAAUUCUUGCAGAAACUCCUUUGGUUGUUCUCCAAGGACUCAUCCAGGAAUUCCUCCAGAGAUUUUAUCCAAAGAUCCUCCAGAAAUUUCUCAUGGAAUUCUUGCAGAAACUCCUUUUGGUCUUCCUCCGACAACUCUUCCUGCGGUUCUUCCAGCAAUUCCUUCGGAAAUUCUUACUAUGGUACAUUCAAAAAUUCUUCUAGUGAUUCCCAUACCAAUUUAUCUUAGCAUUAUGGCUGGAAUUCUUCUGGGAAAUCUACCUGAGAUUUCUUCAGAGAUUCCUUCUGCGAUUUCUUCAGGGCCAUCUCUGUAGGUUGUUCCAGAAUACCUCUACCGGUUCUUGCAGGGACUUCUCUAGGUAUUCCAAGGAUUUUUCUUUGGAUUCCCCCAGGCAUUACUGAUGGGGUUUCUCUAGAAAUUAUUGUAAAGCUUCCUCCAGCAAUUCCUCCAAGGAUGUCAGCUGAGAUUUCUACCAUGAUACAUCCCAGAAUCUCUCUAAGAAUAUCUCCGGUGAUUCCUUCAGGAAUUUUUAUCCAAGAUAUUUUAUCGAAGGUUUCUUUCAUAGAUUUUUCCAGGAAUUUAUCUUGACCUUCCUACAGAAAUUUCAGCUGAAUUUCUCAAGCUAUUCCUGCUGUGGUUCUUUCAGCAAUUCCUCCUAGGACUCCUCCAGAAAUUCUACUUAAUGCGUUCCGAAAUUUUUCUAGGGAUCCUUCCAAGAAUUGCUCCAGGGAUUCCUUCACAAAUUUGCUGGGAAAAUUCAAGGCAAUCUUUCCUUGGUUUCAUCCUAGACAUCCUAAAGGGUUUUUUUCCUGGGAUUUCUUCAAAUAUUUCUCAUUGGUUUCCUUCAGAAACUUCUCUUGACUUUUAUCCAGGAAUUCCUCUUGGGAUUCUAUAAGCGAUUUCUGCUGCUUUGUUUCAGGAAUGCCUCCUAGGUCUCCUCCAGCAGUUCUCCUGGCAUUCUUGCUGGAGUUCUUCUAGGCAAUUUUCCUAGGAUACUUCCAGAAAUGCCUUCGAUUCUUCUAGGGAUUUUUGUAAAGACUCAUCCAGGAAUUCCCCCAGAGUUUUUAUACACGGAUUACUCUAGAAAUUAAUCAUGGUAUUACUCCUGGAACUCAUCUUGGCCUUCUUCAAGGAAUUCCAGCUGAAGGAGUCCCCAAGAAUUUCCAGAGAAAUCCUAGGAGGUAUUACUAGAGAAAUCUCUAGUGAAAUCCUAUAGGAAUGUACGGAAAAACUUGUUAUUAAUUAGAAUUGACAAAUUAAGAGAGAAAGUUGUGAAAAAAAAUCUCGUUCUUUUGGGAUUCUAACCCACGACUCCGUAUUCGCUAGACCGCAGUAUGGCCAUACCUUUAAGGGAUGCCGAAGGAAAAGGUUGUUUUUUUUUAUUUCUGCGGUAGUAUCAUUGGAAUUCAAUCAGCAUUUUUUCUAUAAUUUCAAUCGCUAUUCCCCUGACAUUAUUUCAGCAAUUUCUUUUUAGUUAUUUUGCCAAUUUCUUCGACAAUUUUAUCGUGACUACUUUUGUAUUUUUUUAUGAUUUAAUUGUAUACAUAUUGUUUGUGCAAAGAAGUAUAUGUGUGAGUGUAUGUCUCUACCCCAUGAUGUAUAUUAUGUAAGACAAAUAAAUCAGUUGGCUUGUGUCCAUUGCAAUGGAAAGAUGAUACCGUGUUCCGCCUAAUUAAUAUCCUAUCACGAUGGGUCAUUUAUCCGCCCUUACGCGAACACAUAUUUAUUACUUCCGAAACUUGCUGAACCACAAAUGCAGAAAUUGUCAACUGGGCUUGCUCAAAGGAAAUCCUAUGAAAUUCACGAAAAACUUCCUGACAAAUUUCCUAAGAAAUUUGCUGGAAAAAUUUCCAUCAAAACUACCUUAGAACUUUCGAAGUGAUUGUGAAAUGAAUUCAUAUAAGAAUUACCAGAGGAGUUGCUGAAGAAAAUAUCAAGGCUUUUUUUUUAAAAAAAAGUUGCCAAAUCCAAUAUCAUAAUAAAUUGCCGAAAUAUAUUUUAUAACAAUUUCCACAAACAUUCGCAAAAAAAAUCGAAGAAAUUGUCAAAGAAUUUUCCGAAAUCAUCAAAGGAAUUUCUGAAGAAAAUUUAGAAAGAAUUCCAAAAGUAAUUGCCGGAGAAUCACUAUGAUAGAGUUUUUAAAGAACCGCCAAAGAUUUUUUAAAUAAAUUGCCGAAGGAAAUCUCUAAGAAAUUUGACGAAUCAAUUUCCAAAAGAAUUACCGAAGAAGUAAUAAUCGCGGUUUCCAAAAUUUCCAAAGAAAUUGCUGAUGGAAUUGCCGAAUAAAUUUUCAAUGAAAGUAACAUCGGAAUUGUCGAAGGUAUUCCGAAAUCAUCUGCUGCAGGAAUUCUUCACAUCAUUACUGAAGAAAUCUAGAAGAAAUUUUCUUAAUCAUUUUCAUUGAAAUUAUAGAAGUGAUUUAUAAAAGCAUUUCCGAAAGAGUUUUCGAAGAAAUUUGCAAAGGAAUACCGAAUAGCAUAGAUAAUAAAAGUCCAAAAAAUCAACAAAAAUCCCAAAACAAGUAGAAUGUCUUGCCGAAGACAUCUUCAGAAAAAAAAUGUAACAAGUUCCAGCGAAUAAGUCAUUGUCGAAUGAAUUAUCAAAGCUUUCUUUUUGAAAGCAAAUAUCAAUAGAAUUGCUGACAUUAACAACUAAAAUUGGUGACUUCUAAAAUAUUGGCGAAGGAGCUCCCGAAAAUACAUUUCAAAGAAUUUUCCAAUGAAAUAAAGAAGCCAAAUAAACUGCUAAUGGAAUUACCGAUGAAAUUUUCAAAGAAUGCGUGUAGGUGUUUGGUAUCAAAUUCCAAACAUAUUACCAAAUAAAUUCAUUAAAAAAUGCUGAAGGGGAUCCAAAGAUAUUACCGAAGAAAUUUGCCAAAUCCAAUUAUUAAGAGAUUUCCAAAGGAAGUCUAAAUUGAAAUAAAUUGCAAAACAAUUUACAAAAUAAUUGCCGGAAAUAUUCCCUGAGGAAUUACCGAAAGAAUGUUUUGCCGAAAACACCUUUUUUUUGUAUUAUGUACAAACCAGACUCGAUUGUCCGAAAUGUACGAAACUGAAAUUUUGACUGAUUAUUACAGUGUUGGAUUUACGUAAGUCAAAAUUUCUACUUUAUACAGCAUUCCGUUCACCAGAUAUAUUAUCAAUCCAGUCGAAAUCGGAAUUCGGUGUGAGCAUCAGAAUACCGAAGAGAAAAAAUCGUAGUUCGAUCGCACCAAAUUUCGGGCUGGAUUAAUAAUAUGUCCGUGAAGCUUCUGAAUGGAACUCAGGAUAUUCGAGUCCAAAUAUUGUAAUUUCAAGAAUCAUACUCAUAAUGUCUUUGUAAAAGUAUUUUCAUGUCCACGUGGUAGUGUUCAACUAAUGAAACAAAACCCUGUCACCAUUAAUGUCGGGGUCAAACCAUGUGUAUGCAAUUUUAAGUAUUUAUAAUUCUUUCAAGUGUUCUUGCAAACUAUUUUUACAAGGGUUGUUAUCAUGCACUAAAACAAAGAUGAUGUCACGAUGAAUACAAGUUACACACAAAUAAUGCAUUUUAUGAGACGUUUCAAAUCAGCUGUUUUUUUAAUGUUUACCGGUUUUGAAGUCCAGCCGGUGGGCCCAUUUAUUUACAUUUUCGUUAGCAUAACAUGUGAUAUAGGCCCAUCCAAUAAACCAGGUUCAUUUAUCUGCAAAAAUGCGUCAAUCCGCCCACUAUAAUUAAUAUCCUUAGACCGUGGGGAUGUUUUUUUUUCAUCUGCUAGUGACAUCAUGCAGCUCGGGGUAUUGAUACAUGCCUCAUUAGAAACCAAAACAUCUCUGCCAGCAAAAAUCUGAUUGGCGCUCACCACAUGUUAUGCUACUUUUCGCGAAAACAAAAACAUCAAAUGUAAACAAUAACAAUGACCGGCCCACCGGUAGAACGUCUCGUAAAAUAGCUUAUUUGCGGAUAUUAUAGUUUCUGAGAUUUACACUUCACAAAGAUGUCGUCGCAAUGAUUGUUAAAUUCAAACUGAAAAUAAAAAUUCCAUUUAUUAUAGGCAUUCAAGUUAUCAAGUUUUCAAAUCUCACAUGGCGGGGAAAGUGUUGAAUCAGUACAAUCUUUCGGAUUUUCCAAAAAACGUGUUCUUUAAAAUAUAGCACGUUUAAAUUUGCGGACUAUUUUUUCCCGCGACGCAGUUUAUCAUUAUACUAAGAAAUUGAGGGUGGAUCGGUAUUUCCUUUUACAAAAAAAACCAAAACAACCUGGAAGCCACUGAAACUGGCACCCCCUAGG
This is a long non-coding RNA of Aedes albopictus (Asian tiger mosquito), 7664 nucleotides long. RefSeq lists it as uncharacterized. The record is from RefSeq and is a predicted model, not a curated record. The transcript has 2 exons. Lineage: Eukaryota; Metazoa; Arthropoda; Insecta; Diptera; Culicidae.